CAGGGCGCAGGGGAUGGAGUCCCCCUUGAACCGCGAAUGCCGCUGAUGACUCCUGCUGUACG
This 62-nucleotide non-coding RNA is filed under the name Humidesulfovibrio mexicanus. RNAcentral describes it as "Desulfovibrio mexicanus Fluoride sequence". It matches the Rfam family "Fluoride riboswitch aptamer (crcB RNA motif)". Lineage: Bacteria; Pseudomonadati; Thermodesulfobacteriota; Desulfovibrionia; Desulfovibrionales; Desulfovibrionaceae. The record is from Rfam by way of RNAcentral.